RNAcentral lists this long non-coding RNA (8474 nucleotides) under Gallus gallus (chicken). The record is from RNAcentral. Lineage: Eukaryota; Metazoa; Chordata; Aves; Galliformes; Phasianidae.
CAUGCUAACAAAACAGAAAAUAAAGACAAACACUGUGGAAUUUGCCUGUAUUGCAUUAUCCUUUAAUAUAAAUGACAUAUAUGUUUUACAAAUUAGAGAGAUUGGCUUUGGAGAAUCAAGAGGCUGCAGAAGAUUCUUUUAAGGUGACAUUUUGAUUGAGUAUAUGGUUAGCUUUGUAGAUUGACAGUAGAAAUGUGCAGCCUACCUUUGAUGUGCUUGCUACCCACUAGAAUCUGUUGAAGAGUCCCAAUUUGCAGAAAGCUUCAGAUCAUUCUCAGAAGAUAUUUCUACAAAUGAUGUCCCAACGUUGUUCAAUUAGGCCUUACUGUUAAUUCACUUCAUUUUAUGCUACACUUAGGAUUUUGAUUAUAUUCUAAAUUUCACAUAUUCAUUUGAUGGGGAGCCUGCAUAUCUCUACUUGACAGUUAAGAACAGUGUUUAAAAAACAAAAUCAGUAAAGGAUGAUGACAAAUGUACAAUGUAGAAGAAAUGAACAGUGAACUGCUAUUAUUUUUGUUUUAGAUAUAUACAUGGACUGAUACCAAAGGCUAAAGCCUAAUACCUUAGUCUGCAAAGUUGCUUCACUGAAAAUCAGUCAAACUGCUCUUAUGACUAAGGUGAGAGGGAUUUGCCCUAGAGAAAAUUAGUAAUUGAGCUCCUGACAUAGGUUAUAGGUUUUGUACUGCAGGCUACUCAUUAUUUUGUUCACUAGGAUUAUGUUAGACUAAUCCUGAAUAGCAUUGCUCUAAAAAAAUGGCAAACUUAAAAGAACUAUGUGUACAAUAUGAAUUUAUUUUUUUCCCAAAAUAAUGACAUCAGCAACAAUUUUAUUUGCCUCUGCUAAAUAGAUACAUUCAAAAUUAGCUUAGUGUUAUAGUAAUAUUUUUAAACCUCCAGGGCUUGAAAUAAAUUUAAAGGAGGUAACUCUCUCCUUCUCAAGUUUCAAGAUGUCUUGAGAGUCCUUUUUUCCUCUACUAUUUUUCUUCAGUGGCUAUAAAAAUAUGCUCAAUCACUAUCUUUUUUCUUUUUUUUUUUAAAUCAUAGUUUGACAAAUAUUUACUCCGAAUCUCAUAUACAGUGGAAUCUGAAAACCUGUAGCAUUCAGCAAACCAAAAAUUACCACAGAAAGCAUGCUGGAAAAGAAGGCUGAAAUAAGUCAGUUUAAAGCACAGACAGGAAUUCUUUUUGAUGGUAUGUUUGAUCUUGUACAUCUGUAAUGAUUAAUUUAUUUUACAUAAUUGGAUCAUCUCCACUUUACAGUGAAGUUUCUGGUAUUUGGCAUUAACUGUUAGCAACAAUUUUUUGAACAGGCCCAUUACAACAGGUACUUUAGCUGAAAUACAACCAAACCCCGCCUUUAGAAAUCUAUUUGUAAUUUCCGAUCUGUACUGCAGAGCGUUCAUGGAUACAUCGGAAAGCAGAGGGCUGGAUUUCCCAGUACUGCACGGGGUUGCUGAAGAGACUCACACCAGAAUAGGUUGCCUUUUUGGUGUUGUAGCCAAGAGGGCAAAAGUCGUUGAUACCAAUUGAAGCAAUCUUGUUGUUAUGAAGAUAGACCACCUGGAUGUAUUUGUGUUCACCCAACCCACUAGGUACUCUGACAAGUUCGUUGUUAUUCAGAUGAAGUUCUCUCAGAUGAGGUACAUUGUUCAGAGAGCCAUUUUCAACAGAAGAAAUACUGUUGAAGCUGAGACCCAAUUUAGCCAAGUUGGUGAGUCCAGACAGACCUUCCGCAUCAAUUUUGCUAAUUUUGUUGCCAUCAAGGUGAAGCUCAGUAAGGGAUGGAGGAAGACCUUUAGGGAUGCUAGUAAUGUUGGUGUCUGCGAUGCGGAUAUAGGAAAGCCUCUUCAUCCCUUGAAAAGCUCCAUUUUCAAUGCCUGAGCUCUUGAGUGGAUUGGUGCCUAGUUCUAAGACAAUCACUUGAUUCAGUCCAUUAAAAACUGCCUUCCUCAACUUGGAGAUCUCAUUUUCAUGAGCACGUAUCUCCUGAAGAGACUUUGGCAUGUUUUCUGGAAGUUCCUUCAAAUUAUUCUUGGAUAGGUACAGUCUUUCCAGUUUCUUCAGAGGAGCAAAAGCUGCCGGACUUAUUUUGCUGAUUUUGUUGUUAACAAGGAUCAAUGCAUGAAGAUUCUUCAAAUUCUUGAAAUCUCCUUCUUUAAUUUCAGUGAUUUUGUUGUUCUGUAAAUCCAGCAGAGUUGUGUCAGGGGGAAGGUCUUUUGGCACUCUUUCCAGACCUAGGUCAGAGCACUGCACAACGCGAAGAUGACACUGGCAGCGGAAGGGGCACACUGGCCCAAAUCCAGAUAUGACAGGAUCAUCUGUUGGAGCCAUGUCGGCUGACCCUUCAUCCUCUAUCAUAAAGUCAAAGAGGCCCUUCUGGUGGAACGGCGUGGCCAAGCAUACUGGCAGCAGUAGGACGAAGAGGAGAACUAGCCUCAUGGCUCAGUUCAUCAACUCCAGGCAGAACCUACGAACCACAGUAGAGAAUUUAAAGCAAAAGUAGCAAUUUUCCAUAGCUGCACAGUCCCUGCUGAAGGAGGUCCAGCAUAUCCAAUAGUUGCAUAACUAUUCCUUUCAAUAAGUGAAAACUGAACUCUGAAUAUAGGACAGUUAUAUGAUAGCAGUCUGGUAACUGCUUGUCUACAGCCUUUUUUUUCUUUCACAAGAUGGUUUAAAGGCAACUCUAGAUACAUCUGUUUGCAUAUUUAGAGUAAUAUUUAUUAGGAACAGGCAGCACUGUCAACUUUGUUAUGCAAAACAAUCAACACAAUAAGCCACAUUUUCCAUGUAUAUGUUUUCUGCCAAUGGAAUAGUCUAUUUGAUUUCGUUAACAUUUGUUUCAUGGCAGUGAGUUUGUUCCCUCAGGAUGAACCUGAGGUUCCCAAAACUCACUGUAAUGCAGUACUUUGUGUCUUAAGAAAUCCUGUUGUUUUUUUGUUGUUGUUGUUGUUUUUGUUUUUUGAAGUGCCAGUUUGCUGUGUGUUUUGAAUUAUAUCCUAGUAAAGCUGACUGAGAUAGAGUAAGAUCUAGUGAUGGGGUGGAGAGAGGGAGAGAGAGAGAGAGAGAGAGUUCUUUAGUUUUAAAGUAAGCUAUUCUUAAUUCCCAGUUUAAAAAGCACAAUAAAAAAGAACACAGUGUUGUAUUACAUUGGAUAUUCUUGGCUUUCUUUCCAAGUUUUUGGCUAGGGGAUUUUACCUCAUAACAAUGCACUCUGAAAAUCCUCUGCUUUGUACUGCUUAGACAUUUGAACUGGUGCUUUCAGUAUUGUCAGCACACGUUCAAAUGGUACUUCAGGGCCUCAUCCUGCAGAUUUUCACACACAGGAGCACCUUUACACAAGUGUGAAUUGCCAUUUGAUAAUGAUAAGGAAAACUGCUAAAUAUGUGUUCCCAGGACUUUGACAUAAAAUGCAUUUCAAGACACUGUACAUUGUGCUACCUGUGUUGUGCACUAGGGAAGAAUUCCAAAACAGUUGUUUCCAGAUUUUGCAUCAAGGCUGUACCCUACUUUCUGAAAAUUACCUUCUUUUACUAUUUAAUUUACAUGAGGAAGCUUAUGUUUUGCAACCUUUCAUUGGUGUGUAAACAAUCCACAAUUAAAUAAAAAACAAAACUGCCUUUAAGUCAUCAAAUGAUAGAAAGGCAGUCUUGUUCCUUAUUAAGGAGACUUUUCUUAAAAUGAAUAGCACAAUUCUGAUUACAGAUAUUGUUCUUUUUAGUGAAAGCAAAGAUGUCCAGUUGCUUCUUCAGGCCAAUAACUAGAUCAUUGAAAUUUACUUCCAAGAUUCCUACUUGGGAUGUUAACUGGAUUCUAUCCUAUCUAGAAGAUAGCUAAUAGAUAGAAGUGUCACAUAGCACUUCCCAGCUCUAUUUUGACUAAUGGAGAUUAAAAAAAAAACUGAGAGGGAGGAGGGGAGAAUGAAUGUCUCCCUCACUCUAUUGAAACAUACUAGAUAGGACUAGACGAUUAACAUGGACAGUUGGUGGUAGGUGACAGUUGCAUACAGUUGCACACUGUUGCCUCUUUUUCCAAAAGACAACACCCAGGUACUGUAGCAGAAAUGGUCAGUAGAAAAAAAUGCUAAAUAAAUAAAAAUCACAGGCUGGAAUGAGAUACAAUCUGUACUGUGCCUGGGUUCAAUUUCCUUUACAAAUUUUUACAUAUUGAUGCAAAAAAUGCAGUCCUGCAGAAAUUUCUGAGGCUCAGUCACGAGAGGAUGGUGACCUUAUCAACUAUGCAAGUGUUAACAUCAGAGUUUACAUUUCUGUCAUCUACCUAGCAGAAAGACAGGGAUCUAACUUCUUCAGAUGUCCCAAAGACUUCCAAGUGAGUUCACAUGGAGCAAAAUAUAGUUUCUGUUAUCACUAUAAGAAACAUACUUGGUUUCUUAGACUCUAAAGUAUUUUUUGUUCCAGGAGUAGACAGACAUGUUACCCACUGCAUGCACUGAGGCACUCUAAAGACCCCAAUGUCAGCUGGAGAGUCACAGCCUUUUAGCCUGUCCUGUUCAUACAGCCCCUCACCAUGCAAUCUCAUGUCCUGCAGCUGGGACAGGCCAUGCUCCUGGGUGGGACAUCUUCCUGCAUCCUCCUGUCCCAGCCCCCACCAACAGCAGGGCUGUCCCAUGCCCAGCAUGCAGCCCUGUCAUGUGAUACUGAUGGACAAGUAAGGGUGUCACAGCAAUGAGGUAUUAAUACAGAGUAGUAAGUUCUUGCCACGGUUUAACCUAAUUCAAGUUCCUGGCAUAAUCAUAGAUUGUAAAAUAACAAUGCAAUUGAUUAAUCGCUUGAAACAGGAAUGCAAACUUGCUAAAUCAUCACCAUUCAUUUUAAUAAGCUGCCUUGUGAAAAUGAGCAGUAAAAUGCUACUCAACUGCAGAGCAUUUUUAAAGAUGCCCAUUUCAAAAUGCCCAAUAAACACCAGGAAAGCUGGACACCACCCCUGGCAAUGACAAUCAGUAUUUUUUCAAAAAGCUUCCUCAGAUCCCUUUUUACACAUAAAUAAAUAUAUAUAUAUGUAUAUAUAUACAUAUAUAUAUAUAUAUAUAACCUGCUUCUAAAUUCUCCAGUGUCACUGCUGGAGCACCAUCUCCUCCCUCCCCAACAAUGCACAAUCAGGAUCUUAUCCUGGAGUUAACUUACUAACACUCUUCUCCCAAGGGGUCGGUAAAUAAAUAAAUAAAUAAAGGAGGGCGCUUGGGAAGCAUCUUCACAUUCAUUAAUAUUGAUAAAUUUCACGUAUCUAAUUUAAUGCCCAUUGUAGACCUUUUCCUUUGGUCCCUGUUUUGUCAAAACUAGAACAAAUUCAGAAAAAAAGUUGUGCAUAAAGGAGGACUGUAUGACAACAAUGGAUAUCAAGGAUAUAAUUCAAACACACAGCAGAGAAAACAGCAGAUGCAAACUACAGAUUAAUCAGGAAAUAAGAGUAGAUGUGCACACGUCUUCAUUCAGAUGUUUUCCUACUGUAGGUACAUGUAUUUCUGGUUUUUACAGGUUUAAAUGGACAGAGACAGAUAGAUAUAAAACUGUACAAAAUUGUACUAGUAAGAAAUGUUUACAUUUCACUUUAAAAAAAAUAGGGAAGGAAAAAAAUCUGAAUUCUUAAAGGUCUGUGACACAAUAUUUAUGUCUGCAGACAGAACUGUUUAAAUUUGCUUUAAUUAUGUGUUUACAGUGAGUAAGACUUUUCCACAAACAGAGGAAACUAUACCAUAGAAUUGGCCACAUUUCAAUUCAAAAUAGCCCUGGAAAUAUGCUUCAUCAGUUCACGUCACCACAGUACUGGUGGUCUUUUUGUCAGUUUGCCUUAACCUUAUCUUUUAAAUAUUAGUCCAUCCACUCUCAGAAAUCCCUCAAAAUGCCACAAAAGACAAGUUAAAAAAUGCAUGCAGUUUCAAAAAAAAAAACAAACCUCCUACGUUAUGUUUAACUUUUUUUUUUUAACAAGAAAGUAUGGAAAAAGAGAAGUUGAAAGUCAAAAAGAGAUUUAAACUCUGCUAACAGAAGUUUCAAAUCCAGGGAUUUUCUUUCCCACUGUUUCAUCCACAGGCAGCUUCUUUAAAUAUAAGUUCCUCAUUUGCACGCUGUAACACGGCGCUUUCUAACACUACAAAGGCAUACACUGAUCCUGUUUAAAUAUCUACUACACAUCUUUUCCUCUGAAAUCAAAGUUAUACUCAUUAGAGUUUGUAAUAAGUACAAAGAAACCUGAACGGAAGAAAAAUAUAUCUGAGAGUGCAGUUUAAACGAGAAAUACACGAACUCAACACUUUUUUACACGCACUACAUCAUAGAUUCUAAACACUGACUUGCAAACAGAGAACAUGCUGCUGCAAAAGUUUACGGUACGGAAAAAGAAAGGACUAUAGCAGUGCUUAUACAAAUCAAAACAAGAGACAGAACAGUCAAAUAAACAGUAGGAAAUGUGUACAGUCCUUACGAACGCAUUCUCAUGUUCUCGAGAAACAAAAGUGCUGGAUACAACAUUCAACAUUGCUAAACAUUUAGUAGGAUUUUUCCUUGCUUCUCUUAAAAUCCAUCUACUUCUUGCCGUAGAAUUGCCUGAAGUUUUAUUAGUACAGCAUAGUUCAGGAGAAUUACCAAAAACCGUACCUUUUAAUCCAGGGAUUUGCAACAGGAGCUCUCAAAGCUGAGAUGUAAUUAAACUAAAUAUUCAACCCAGGCAAAGGCUUUGCAGGUGUGGAAAGGAGGAGGGGGUAAGUUCAGCUCAGUGACUGUCACUUGGUGGAAAACCCUCCUGCUUCUAUUCCAUAGCACAGUUAAAAAAUAAGGUUUCUCUCAAUGAACACAAUCCAGGCUGACACCCACAUUAGAUCAUAUGGUAAUGAUAUGUCUCCUGUAUUGUAGCCAGAAACUUUAUCAGCUCUUUUGCUUUCUUUUCCUCCUUUUUUUUUUUUUUUCCCCAUUUGCUUUAUUCUUUUUUCAUCUGUUUAGAAUCCCAAAGUGCUUGUACACAAUAAGACAGAUGCUUUUCUGUAAAUCAUCUCACUUAUUUUAUUUUGGUUUCUAAAACAUAUAUUUAGUAAAGUUUUCUUGGUUUUAACUGUUUUUUUUUCUGACUCAUUGCUGAGAAAAAAAAAAAAGGGUUGGCUGUUCUUCUUGUUUAUAAUAGUUGUAAUUCAAGGAAAGGAUAUAAAAUUAAUCUUAGAGCUAGUCAAAGUGGAGAUUAACAUCAGAAAAAAAACGGGGUAGCUUUAGGUAAAACCAUUUAUACAGAUAUUAACCUGCCUCUGCUUAUGCUAUAAUCAUUAUCUAAGUAAACAGCAUAUAGUGUAAUAUACUCUUAUUAUCUUGUAUGAAAAAGAGCUUUACAGAUUUCUUCAAACGUCAGCAUGUUUUUGAUAUAUAUGAAAAUCUUGUUUUUAUUAGCUGAAUGAUUCUAGCAUUUGUGGUUAAAACAGCUUUAUAUAAACUUUGAUUUUUUAUUUAUUUAUUUAUUUUUUUACUGCUUUCUCACCAGGACAGCAAAGCAGAGGGGAAAUUAGUUUUAACUCUAUUUCUUUUCCUUUAAGAUACAGUAGGGCUUUUUUAAACAUCAAUGGAACAACGUAUUUGACUCAUUGUCCAGCUUUAAAAUUUAAUCAGUAAUCCCUGUUUUAAUGCAAAUAUCAGUGGAAGCUACAAUGCAAUUUCUCUAUUGUUGCACAAUUUAAAAAUUCAGGCAAACUGAAAGGGAGUAAAUAGAAUAAUUGCUAUUUAUUUAGUUAUUCAAACAGAUUGUGAACAUGUGUAGCUUCCCUGUGCUGUUAACUGUCCCGUCACAAUAAUGGAGGCUUAUGUCUUUGUGUUUUGACUUGUAUCCUUUUAUUCCUGCCCCUAGGCUAGGACCAGGUGCAAUUCUGAAAUUAAAGCAUGUAAAAUGUCAAAGUCUGCUUAAAAGAAGUGUGAUUUUUUAGAAACACAAUGGAAUCUUGAUUUUUUAGCUAUUUCUUUUUAGUUAGAUUUUAAUAAGAGCCAAGAAAACAGCUCUUACAAUUGUUCUUCUUUGGUAAAAAAAAAAAAAAACAUGGUGGAAUAAUUUACUGCUUGUUUUGGUCAGAGUAGCAAAAGGAUGUAAUCAGAUUUAACCUUAUAUUACAGCUUCUUUAUAUAUAUUUACUCUUAAAGUAAGGAUCAUUUCUUCCUCCCUGGACCUUGAGGCUACCUCUGUCUUUUUUCCCCUGCCUCUCCAAUGGAUUCAAGACUGUUAAUGAUUUUUGUUGUGGCAUUUUUCUACAUAUGACGAGUGUUCCAAGCUUUUAUGCUUACAACAAAGCCUUAUCUUUGUCCAGAAGUGUCACCAUGAGGCUUGCUGAAGUCUUGGCUGUAUCUUAGUAAUGUCAGUUAUUUGAACCUUGGUCACCAGCUGCAUCUGCUUGUUUAAAAAACAUUUCAAAGCAAGGUUUUGAUGAGGAACAGGUCAGGGUAAACUUGUUGUCAGUUUGCUUCACAAAACCCAUUCAUAUCCUUUCCCAC